This 440-nucleotide ribosomal RNA is filed under the name uncultured bacterium. RNAcentral describes it as "partial 16S ribosomal RNA". It matches the Rfam family "Bacterial small subunit ribosomal RNA", at positions 338 to 795 of the family's 1533-position model. The record is from RNAcentral.
CCUACGGGUGGCUGCAGUGGGGAAUAUUGCACAAUGGGGGCAACCCUGAUGCAGCGACGCCGCGUGAGUGAAGACGUAACUAGUUAUUUAAAACUCUAUCUGUAGAGAAGUAAAUGACGGUACCUGUGUAAGAAUCCCCGGCUAACUUCGUGCCAGCAGCCGCGGUAAUACGGAGGGAGCAACCGUUAUCCGGAUUUACUGGGUGUAAAGGGAGCUUAGACGGGAUGGCAAGUCUGGAGUGAAAGGCGGGGGCUCAACCCCCGGACUGCUAUGGAAACUGUCAGGCUGGAGUGCAGGAGAGGUAAGUGGAAGUCCUGGUGUAGCGGUGAAAUGCGUAGAUAUUAGGAGGAACACCAGUGGCGAAGGCGGCUUACUAGACUGUAACUGACGUUGAGGCUCGAAAGUGUGGGGAGCAAACAGGAUUAGAUACCCGAGUAGUC